Molecule: ribosomal RNA, 490 nt
Filed under: uncultured bacterium
Lineage: Bacteria
Description: bacterial SSU rRNA
Rfam family: Bacterial small subunit ribosomal RNA
Source: RNAcentral
GAUGAACGCUGGCGGCGUGCCUAACACAUGCAAGUCGAACGGAGCACCCGAGAAUGAAGCUUCGGCCAAGUGAAUUUGAGUUUAGUGGCGGACGGGUGAGUAACGCGUGAGGAACCUGCCUUUCAGAGGGGGACAACAGUUGGAAACGACUGCUAAUACCGCAUAACGCAUAUUGAUCGCAUGGUCGAUAUGCCAAAGAUUUAUCGCUGAAAGAUGGCCUCGCGUCUGAUUAGCUAGUUGGUGAGGUAACGGCCCACCAAGGCGACGAUCAGUAGCCGGACUGAGAGGUUGACCGGCCACAUUGGGACUGAGAUACGGCCCAGACUCCUACGGGAGGCAGCAGUGGGGAAUAUUGGGCAAUGGGCGCAAGCCUGACCCAGCAACGCCGCGUGAAGGAAGAAAGGCUUUCGGUUGGUAAACUUCUUUGUCAGGGAAGAGUAGAAGACUGUACCUGGCGAAUAAGCCACGGCUAACUACGUGCCAGCAGCCG